AUUAGAGGAGGUUAUUGAAGGGUGGGUGGGUGUUGUAGUUGAGUUUUAGUGUUUCAGUUUAUAGAGCAUUUUUUGGAUGGGAGUUACAGUAUUUUGAGUUGUUUGGUGUUGCUGGUGAUGUAUUGUUGAGGUGGUAAGGAGGAUUUGUUGGGUUGUUUUAAAGAAGGUUUAUUGUAGAUAGUUCUGGAUAGUUGUGGGGUUGCUUAAUUUUUUUAUGGUUUUUGGCUUUUUAGUAGUUAUUUGAAAUAUGCUAGAGUUUUUUUGGGUUUAUUGAAAUACUUGAUUUUGAGGAAGUUCCUGUUUAGAAUGUAUGAUUUUUUUUUUUUUUUGCUUAAAAUAAAAAUUUUAUGUUUUAGUGAGGUUUAUUUUUUUUCUUACUGCUAUAUUUUGUGAUAUUUGUGUUAGGUUAGUAGUAGGGAUAGCUUUACAUUUAUAUGUUGAAAUGAGGGUAGUGUGUAUUGCAUACUGGUUUUCAUAAAGGUUUAAUAUUUUUAUGGUUCUGAUGUGUUAGGUUAAUGAAUUUAUGAAGUUUACAAGACUUUUUUUGUUUUUAUUUUGAUACAGGCAGGGUUUUCUUAGUUUUAAGGAUUUGUUUGGCAUAGAUUUUAGAGGUCUUAUUGAGGGGAUAGGACAGGGUGUCUCUGUUAAUCUAUUUGGCAAUUUGGAUAGUGUAAAUAAAAUUAAUAUUUUGGUAGAAUGUUUGGGUUUUGUUAGUUUAUUUAUUUAUGAAUUUGUGUGCCUGCAGCUGUAGUGUCUCUGCUGCAAGUCUCAGUAUCCAUUCAUGUUUGUGUGCAUCAGGCAGUCCACUCGUGUACCAGCGAGUCCCCCCUGCAAGCGGCCGCAGAGCCGCUCCUUCGCUCUCCUGGGAAUUCGGGGAGCGGCACACGGCUCUGCGACGAAGCCUUGAUCUUUGUCACUUGGAGGUGGCACCAGGGAGCCUCAGGAGCGGCCGAGGAGUUGCUCCAGGCAGACCCUGCCAGGAGGGCGUGGGCGAAGCGUGCGGCCCGAGGAGCCCGGCGUUCUCAAGAGAAUAA
Molecule: long non-coding RNA, 1034 nt
Filed under: Lonchura striata (white-rumped munia)
Lineage: Eukaryota; Metazoa; Chordata; Aves; Passeriformes; Estrildidae
Description: domestica (Bengalese finch) lncRNA (ENSLSDG00000008525.1)
Source: RNAcentral